UGGGGAAUAUUGCACAAUGGGCGCAAGCCUGAUGCAGCCAUGCCGCGUGUAUGAAGAAGGCCUUCGGGUUGUAAAGUACUUUCAGUCGGGAGGAAGGUGUCAAGGUUAAUAACCUUGGCAAUUGACGUUACCGACAGAAGAAGCACCGGCUAACUCCGUGCCAGCAGCCGCGGUAAUACGGAGGGUGCAAGCGUUAAUCGGAAUUACUGGGCGUAAAGCGCACGCAGGCGGUUGAUUGAGUCAGAUGUGAAAUCCCCGGGCUUAACCCGGGAAUUGCAUCUGAUACUGGGCAGCUAGAGUCUUGUAGAGGGGAGUAGAAUUCCAUGUGUAGCGGUUAAAUGCGUAGAGAACUGGAGGAAUACCGGUGGCGAAGGCGGCCCCCUGGGCGAAGACUGACGCUCAGGUGCGAAAGCGUGGGGAGCAAACAGG
Molecule: ribosomal RNA, 429 nt
Filed under: Chloroflexota bacterium
Lineage: Bacteria; Bacillati; Chloroflexota
Description: Chloroflexi bacterium partial 16S ribosomal RNA
Rfam family: Bacterial small subunit ribosomal RNA
Source: RNAcentral